This 247-nucleotide ribosomal RNA is filed under the name uncultured bacterium. RNAcentral describes it as "partial 16S ribosomal RNA". It matches the Rfam family "Bacterial small subunit ribosomal RNA", at positions 523 to 769 of the family's 1533-position model. The record is from RNAcentral.
AUACGUAGGGAGCAAGCGUUGUCCGGAAUUACUGGGCGUAAAGGGUGCGUAGGUGGCUUGGCAAGUCAGAUGUGAAAUCCCCGGGCUUAACUCGGGUUCUGCAUUUGAAACUGCUUGGCUUGAGUGCAGGAGAGGAAAGCGGAAUUCCUAGUGUAGCGGUGAAAUGCGUAGAUAUUAGGAGGAACACCAGUGGCGAAGGCGGCUUUCUGGACUGUAACUGACACUGAGGCACGAAAGCGUGGGGAGC